CCUACGGGAGGCAGCAGUCGAGAAUCAUUCACAAUGGGGGAAACCCUGAUGGUGCGACGCCGCGUGGGGGAAUGAAGGUCUUCGGAUUGUAAACCCCUGUCAUGUGGGAGCAAAUUAAAAAGAUAGUACCACAAGAGGAAGAGACGGCUAACUCUGUGCCAGCAGCCGCGGUAAUACAGAGGUCUCAAGCGUUGUUCGGAAUCACUGGGCGUAAAGCGUGCGUAGGCUGUUUCGUAAGUCGUGUGUGAAAGGCGCGGGCUCACCCCGCGGACGGCCCAUGAUACUGCGAGACGAGAGGAAUGGAGGGGGAACCGGAAUUCUCGGUGUAGCAGUGAAAUGCGUAGAUAUCGAGAGGAACACUCGUGGCGAAGGCGGGUUCCUGGACAUUAACUGACGCUGAGGCACGAAGGCCAGGGGAGCGAAAGGGAUUAGAUACCCUGGUAGUC
This 446-nucleotide ribosomal RNA is filed under the name uncultured bacterium. Its description in RNAcentral is "partial 16S ribosomal RNA". It matches the Rfam family "Bacterial small subunit ribosomal RNA", at positions 338 to 795 of the family's 1533-position model. The record is from RNAcentral.